GCGACGCGAAAGUACCUUACAAUAGCUCCAUUCUGAAUAUAGAGGAUUUUUUUUCUUCAAUAGUCAGUAAGGUAAGAAAUAUUAUAAGACCAUGUUAAUAUAUAUCCUCUAACGGUGAACUCGGCCGUUCAGGAUCGAAAGAAACCGUAUUGACUGAUCGCGGUUGUAAAAAUGUUCUACACUUUCGGGAAUAUUAUUUCCCUAAAUAUUAUCUUAGUUAUAGGCGGCCAAAAUUCGUGUUAUUACAAUUGAGCUUUACUCAUAGUUAGCGAUUUUUACCGUGAAAUACAUUGAGAUGCAUCUGUGCCGGAAUGCCAUUUGAAUACAGGUCUAUUGUGUGAACACGUAAUCUUCACAAACAGGCGUGUAUAUAUUUAUUACAGCUAAGAAAGCUAGCUCUUUCCAGACACUUCAUUUUUGUUGAGACAAUUAAUUCAGGCCCAAAUCCUGGCUUUACAUGUUUCUUUCUAUUUAGCGUUUCCCGGUGGUUCUGUAUUCUCGCAUCAUGGAAGAAUCAGAUGAAUUGCUUACCGAUGGAGCUGUUGGUCAUUCAGUACCGCUCGAAAGCUUUGUAACUGAAACAAACGCAAACGACCCCGAACUAAAGUCUGAGAAAAUAAAGCAGCAAGACGGUGGGUCGUGUAAUUACGAAGAAAAAUCACGAGAAACAAUUAGUGGACCUGUAAAAGAGCUAAUGGACAAUUUAG
Paramuricea clavata is the source of this 707-nucleotide non-coding RNA. The record is from the annotation of a GenBank genome assembly. Lineage: Eukaryota; Metazoa; Cnidaria; Anthozoa; Malacalcyonacea; Plexauridae.